CCUACGGGUGGCAGCAGUGGGGAAUAUUGCACAAUGGGGGGAACCCUGAUGCAGCAACGCCGCGUGGGUGAAGAAGUACUCCGGUAUGUAAAGCCCUGUCAGCAGGGGAGAAAAUGACGGUACCUGACCACGAAGCCCCGGCUAACUACGUGCCAGCAGCCGCGGUAAUACGUAGGGGGCAAGCGUUAUCCGGAUUUACUGGGUGUAAGGGGGCUUAGACGGCAAGGCAAGUCUGGAGUGAAAGCGCGUGGCUCAAACCCCGGACUGCUCUUGAAACUGGACGGCUGGAGGUGAAGAGAGGGAAGUGGAAUUCGUAGUGUAGCGGUGAAAUGCGUAGAUAUUAGGAGGAACACCAGUGGCGAAGGCGGCUUACUGGACUGUAACUGACGUUGAGGCUCGAAAGCGUGGGGAGCGAACAGGAUUAGAUACCCCUGUAGUC
RNAcentral lists this ribosomal RNA (439 nucleotides) under uncultured bacterium. Its description in RNAcentral is "partial 16S ribosomal RNA". It matches the Rfam family "Bacterial small subunit ribosomal RNA", at positions 338 to 795 of the family's 1533-position model. The record is from RNAcentral.